UUCGCCCUUUUCCGGUUGAUCCUGCCGGACCCCACUGCUAUCGGGAUAGGACUAAGACAUGCAAGUCAAGCGCUUUCUAGCUAAUGUGAGAGCGCGGCGUACAGCUCAGUAACACGUGGCCAACCUGCCCUUGGGACGGGAACACCCCCGGGAAACUGGGGUUAAUUCCCGAUAGGUGAAGAAGUCUGGAAUGACUCUUCGCUCAAAAGACGUUUAUGUCAUGCUCAUAUUCGUCGCCCAGGGAUGGGGCCGCGACCGAUCAGGUUGUUGGUGAGGCAAUGGCUCACCAAGCCUUUUACCGGUGCGGGCCGUGAGAGCGGGAGCCCGGAGAUGGGCACUGAGACAAAGGCCCAGGCCCCACGGGGCGCAGCAGUCGCGAAAAUUUUGCAAUACACGAAAGUGUGACAGAGCUAUCCCGAGUGCCAUCCGCUGAGGAAGGCUUUUACCCAGUAUAAAUAGCUGGGAGAAUAAGGAGAGGGCAAGUCUGGUGUCAGCCGCCGCGNUAAUACCAGCUCUCCGAGUAGCGUGGACGUUUAUUGGGCCUAAAGCAUCCGUAGCUUGCUAGAUAAGUCCUCUGUUAAAUCCACCGAUUCAAUCGUUGGAUUGCGGG
Molecule: ribosomal RNA, 610 nt
Filed under: uncultured archaeon
Lineage: Archaea
Description: bacterial SSU rRNA
Rfam family: Archaeal small subunit ribosomal RNA
Source: RNAcentral